CCUACGGGCGGCAGCAGUGGGGAAUAUUGGGCAAUGGGCGCAAGCCUGACCCAGCAACGCCGCGUGAAGGAAGAAGGCUUUCGGGUUGUAAACUUCCUUUCUGAGGGACGAAGAAAGUGACGGUACCCCAGGAAUAAGCCACGGAUAACGACGUGCCAGCAGCCGCGGUAAUACGUAGGCGGCAAGCGUUAUCCGGAUUCAUUGGGUGUAAAGGGCGGGUAGGCGGGAAAGCAAGUCAGAUGUGAAAAGUCAGGGCUCAAACCUGGGCCUGCAUUUGAAACUGGUCUUCUUGAGUGCUGGAGAGGCAUUCGGAAUUCCGGGUGUAGCGGUGAAAUACGUAGAUAUACGGAGGAACACCGGUGGCGAAGGCGGAUUGCUGGA
This 381-nucleotide ribosomal RNA is filed under the name uncultured bacterium. RNAcentral describes it as "partial 16S ribosomal RNA". It matches the Rfam family "Bacterial small subunit ribosomal RNA", at positions 338 to 733 of the family's 1533-position model. The record is from RNAcentral.